AGAGUUUGAUCCUGGCUCAGAACGUACGCUGGCGGCACGCCUAACACAUGCAAGUCGAACGAAGUAGCAAUACUUAGUGGCAGACGGGUGAGUAACAUGUAGGUAUCUGCCCUUUGGCCUGGAAUAACACGAGGAAACUUGUGCUAAUACCGGAUAAGUCUUUACGGAGAAAGCUUUAUGCACCAUUGGAUGAGCCUGCACUUGAUUAGUUUGUUGGUAGGGUAAUGGCCUACCAAGACUUUGAUCAAUAGCUGAUUUGAGAGGAUGAUCAGCCACAUUGGGACUGAGACACGGCCCAAACUCCUACGGGAGGCAGCAGUGGGGAAUCUUGCACAAUGGAGGAAACUCUGAUGCAGCGAUGCCGCGUGAGUGAAGAAGGCCCUUGGGUUGUAAAGCUCUUUCGUCGGGGAAGAAAAUGACUGUACCCGAAUAAGAAGGUCCGGCUAACUUCGUGCCAGCAGCCGCGGUAAUACGAAGGGACCUAGCGUAGUUCGGAAUUACUGGGCUUAAAGAGUUCGUAGGUGGUUGAAAAAGUUGGUGGUGAAAUCCCAGAGCUUAACUCUGGAACUGCCAUCAAAACUUUUCAGCUAGAGUUUGAUAGAGGAAAGCAGAAUUUCUAGUGUAGAGGUGAAAUUCGUAGAUAUUAGAAAGAAUACCAAUUGCGAAGGCAGCUUUCUGGAUCAUUACUGACACUGAGGAACGAAAGCAUGGGUAGCGAAGAGGAUUAGAUACCCUCGUAGUCCAUGCCGUAAACGAUGUGUGUUAGACGUUGGAGAUUUUAUUUUCAGUGUCGCAGCGAAAGCGAUAAACACACCGCCUGGGGAGUACGACCGCAAGGUUAAAACUCAAAUGAAUUGACGGGGACCCGCACAAGUAGUGGAGCAUGUGGUUUAAUUCGAAGAUACGCGCAGAACCUUACCAACACUUGACAUGUUCGUCGCGACUUUAAGAGAUUAAAGUUUUCGGUUCGGCCGGACGAAACACAGGUGCUGCAUGGCUGUCGUCAGCUCGUGUCGUGAGAUGUUGGGUUAAGUCCCGCAACGAGCGCAACCCUCACUUUUAGUUGCCAUCAUUAAGUUGGGCACUCUGAAAGAACUGCCAGUGAUAAGCUGGAGGAAGGUGGGGAUGACGUCAAGUCCUCAUGGCCCUUACGUGUUGGGCUACACACGUGCUACAAUGGUGACUACAACAGGAAGCAAGACAGCGAUGUUAAGCAAAUCCUUAAAAGUUACCUCAGUUCGGAUUGCACUCUGCAACUCGAGUGCAUGAAGCUGGAAUUACUAGUAAUCGUGGAUCAGCGUGCCUCGGUGAAUGCGUUCCCGGGUCUUGUACACACCGCCCGUCACACCAUGGGAGUUGGUUCUACCUUAAGGCAAGGCUUAAAACCCUUGACCACGGUAUAGUCAGCGACUGGGGUGAAGUCGUAACAAGGUAACC
This 1437-nucleotide ribosomal RNA is filed under the name uncultured bacterium. Its description in RNAcentral is "bacterial SSU rRNA". It matches the Rfam family "Bacterial small subunit ribosomal RNA". The record is from RNAcentral.